This 72-nucleotide transfer RNA is filed under the name Scomberoides lysan (doublespotted queenfish). Its description in RNAcentral is "tRNA-Val". It matches the Rfam family "tRNA". From Rfam's summary of the family: Transfer RNA (tRNA) molecules are approximately 80 nucleotides in length. Their secondary structure includes four short double-helical elements and three loops (D, anti-codon, and T loops). The record is from RNAcentral. Lineage: Eukaryota; Metazoa; Chordata; Actinopteri; Carangiformes; Carangidae.
CAGAGCGUAGCUAAGUCAGAAAAGCGCCUCCCUUACACUGAGAAGACACCCGUGCAAUUCGGGUCGCCCUGA